RNAcentral lists this ribosomal RNA (253 nucleotides) under uncultured bacterium. RNAcentral's name for it is "partial 16S ribosomal RNA". It matches the Rfam family "Bacterial small subunit ribosomal RNA", at positions 524 to 776 of the family's 1533-position model. The record is from RNAcentral.
UACAGAGGUCCCAAGCGUUGUUCGGAUUCACUGGGCGUAAAGGGUGCGUAGGUGGUCAGGUAAGUCGGAUGUGAAAUCUCCGAGCUCAACUCGGAAACUGCAUUGGAAACUACCUGUCUCGAGGGUUGGAGGGGGGACUGGAAUGCUUGGUGUAGCAGUGAAAUGCGUAGAUAUCAAGCGGAACACCAGUGGCGAAGGCGAGUCCCUGGACAGCUCCUGACACUGAUGCACGAAAGCUAGGGGAGCAAACAGG